UUAAGCGACUAAGCGUACACGGUGGAUGCCCUGGCAGUCAGAGGCGAUGAAGGACGUGCUAAUCUGCGAAAAGCGUCGGUAAGGUGAUAUGAACCGUUAUAACCGGCGAUGUCCGAAUGGGGAAACCCAGUGUGAUUCGUCACACUAUCGUUAACUGAAUACAUAGGUUAACGAGGCGAACCGGGGGAACUGAAACAUCUAAGUACCCCGAGGAAAAGAAAUCAACCGAGAUUCCCCCAGUAGCGGCGAGCGAACGGGGAGCAGCCCAGAGUCUGAAUCAGCUUGUGUGUUAGUGGAACGGUCUGGAAAGUCCGACGGUACAGGGUGAUAGUCCCGUACACCAAAAUGCACAGGCUGUGAACUCGAAGAGUAGGGCGGGACACGUGGUAUCCUGUCUGAAUAUGGGGGGACCAUCCUCCAAGGCUAAAUACUCCUGACUGACCGAUAGUGAACCAGUACCGUGAGGGAAAGGCGAAAAGAACCCCGGCGAGGGGAGUGAAAAAGAACCUGAAACCGUGUACGUACAAGCAGUGGGAGCACCUUCGGGUGUGACUGCGUACCUUUUGUAUAAUGGGUCAGCGACUUAUAUUCUGUAGCAAGGUUAACCGUAUAGGGGAGCCGCAGGGAAACCGAGUCUUAACUGGGCGUUAAGUUGCAGGGUAUAGACCCGAAACCCGGUGAUCUAGCCAUGGGCAGGUUGAAGGUUGGGUAACACUAACUGGAGGACCGAACCGACUAAUGUUGAAAAAUUAGCGGAUGACUUGUGGCUGGGGGUGAAAGGCCAAUCAAACCGGGAGAUAGCUGGUUCUCCCCGAAAGCUAUUUAGGUAGCGCCUCGUGAACUCAUCUUCGGGGGUAGAGCACUGUUUCGGCUAGGGGGUCAUCCCGACUUACCAACCCGAUGCAAACUACGAAUACCGAAGAAUGUUAUCACGGGAGACACACGGCGGGUGCUAACGUCCGUCGUGAAGAGGGAAACAACCCAGACCGCCAGCUAAGGUCCCAAAGUCAUGGUUAAGUGGGAAACGAUGUGGGAAGGCACAGACAGCCAGGAUGUUGGCUUAGAAGCAGCCAUCAUUUAAAGAAAGCGUAAUAGCUCACUGGUCGAGUCGGCCUGCGCGGAAGAUGUAACGGGGCUAAACCAUGCACCGAAGCUGCGGCAGCGACACUAUGUGUUGUUGGGUAGGGGAGCGUUCUGUAAGCCUGCGAAGGUGUGCUGUGAGGCAUGCUGGAGGUAUCAGAAGUGCGAAUGCUGACAUAAGUAACGAUAAAGCGGGUGAAAAGCCCGCUCGCCGGAAGACCAAGGGUUCCUGUCCAACGUUAAUCGGGGCAGGGUGAGUCGACCCCUAAGGCGAGGCCGAAAGGCGUAGUCGAUGGGAAACAGGUUAAUAUUCCUGUACUUGGUGUUACUGCGAAGGGGGGACGGAGAAGGCUAUGUUAGCCGGGCGACGGUUGUCCCGGUUUAAGCAUGUAGGCUGGUUGUCCAGGCAAAUCCGGAUAAUCAAGGCUGAGGUGUGAUGACGAGGCACUACGGUGCUGAAGUAACAAAUGCCCUGCUUCCAGGAAAAGCCUCUAAGCAUCAGGUAACAUCAAAUCGUACCCCAAACCGACACAGGUGGUCAGGUAGAGAAUACCAAGGCGCUUGAGAGAACUCGGGUGAAGGAACUAGGCAAAAUGGUGCCGUAACUUCGGGAGAAGGCACGCUGGUGUGUAGGUGAAGUCCCUGCGGAUGGAGCUGAGACCAGUCGAAGAUACCAGCUGGCUGCAACUGUUUAUUAAAAACACAGCACUGUGCAAACACGAAAGUGGACGUAUACGGUGUGACGCCUGCCCGGUGCCGGAAGGUUAAUUGAUGGGGUUAUCCGUAAGGAGAAGCUCUUGAUCGAAGCCCCGGUAAACGGCGGCCGUAACUAUAACGGUCCUAAGGUAGCGAAAUUCCUUGUCGGGUAAGUUCCGACCUGCACGAAUGGCGUAAUGAUGGCCAGGCUGUCUCCACCCGAGACUCAGUGAAAUUGAACUCGCUGUGAAGAUGCAGUGUACCCGCGGCAAGACGGAAAGACCCCGUGAACCUUUACUAUAGCUUGACACUGAACAUUGAGCCUUGAUGUGUAGGAUAGGUGGGAGGCUUUGAAGCGUGGACGCCAGUCUGCGUGGAGCCAACCUUGAAAUACCACCCUUUAAUGUUUGAUGUUCUAACGUUGGCCCCUUAUCGGGGUUGCGGACAGUGUCUGGUGGGUAGUUUGACUGGGGCGGUCUCCUCCCAAAGCGUAACGGAGGAGCACGAAGGUUAGCUAAUCCUGGUCGGACAUCAGGAGGUUAGUGCAAUGGCAUAAGCUAGCUUGACUGCGAGCGUGACGGCGCGAGCAGGUGCGAAAGCAGGUCAUAGUGAUCCGGUGGUUCUGAAUGGAAGGGCCAUCGCUCAACGGAUAAAAGGUACUCCGGGGAUAACAGGCUGAUACCGCCCAAGAGUUCAUAUCGACGGCGGUGUUUGGCACCUCGAUGUCGGCUCAUCACAUCCUGGGGCUGAAGUAGGUCCCAAGGGUAUGGCUGUUCGCCAUUUAAAGUGGUACGCGAGCUGGGUUUAGAACGUCGUGAGACAGUUCGGUCCCUAUCUGCCGUGGGCGCUGGAGAAUUGAGGGGGGCUGCUCCUAGUACGAGAGGACCGGAGUGGACGCAUCACUGGUGUUCGGGUUGUCAUGCCAAUGGCACUGCCCGGUAGCUAAAUGCGGAAGAGAUAAGUGCUGAAAGCAUCUAAGCACGAAACUUGCCCCGAGAUGAGUUCUCCCUGAGACUUUAAGUCUCCUGAAGGAACGUUGAAGACGACGACGUUGAUAGGCCGGGUGUGUAAGCGCAGCGAUGCGUUGAGCUAACCGGUACUAAUGAACCGUGAGGCUUAACCUU
Molecule: ribosomal RNA, 2900 nt
Filed under: Klebsiella pneumoniae
Lineage: Bacteria; Pseudomonadati; Pseudomonadota; Gammaproteobacteria; Enterobacterales; Enterobacteriaceae
Description: 23S ribosomal RNA
Rfam family: Bacterial large subunit ribosomal RNA
Source: RNAcentral